AACGAACGCUGGCGGCAUGCCUAACACAUGCAAGUCGAACGAGACCUUCGGGUCUAGUGGCGCACGGGUGCGUAACGCGUGGGAAUUUGCCCUUGGGUUCGGUAUAACAGUCUGAAACGACUGCUAAUACCGGAUGAUGACGUAAGUCCAAAGAUUUAUCGCCCAAGGAUGAGCCCGCGUAGGAUUAGCUAGUUGGUGAGGUAAAGGCUCACCAAGGCGACGAUCCUUAGCUGGUCUGAGAGGAUGAUAAGCCACACUGGGACUGAGACACGGCCCAGACUCCUACGGGGGGCAGGAGAGGAGAAUAUUAGACGAUGGGCGAAAGCCUGAUCCAGCAAUGCCGGGUGAGUGAUGAAGGCCUUAGGGUUGUGAAGCUCUUUUACCCGAGGUGAUAAUGACGGUACCGGGAGAAUAAGCACCGGCUAACUCCGUG
Molecule: ribosomal RNA, 433 nt
Filed under: uncultured bacterium
Lineage: Bacteria
Description: partial 16S ribosomal RNA
Rfam family: Bacterial small subunit ribosomal RNA
Source: RNAcentral